Molecule: ribosomal RNA, 253 nt
Filed under: uncultured prokaryote
Description: partial 16S ribosomal RNA
Rfam family: Bacterial small subunit ribosomal RNA
Source: RNAcentral
ACGAAGGGUGCAAGUGUUACUCGGAAUUAUUGGGCGUAAAGCGCGCGCAGGCGGUCCUUUAAGUCUGAUGCGAAAGCCCACGGCUCAACCGUGGAGGGUCAUUGGAAACUGGGGGACUUGAGUGCAGAAGAGGAAAGCGGAAUUCCACGUGUAGCGGUGAAAUGCGUAGAGAUGUGGAGGAACACCAGUGGCGAAGGCGGCUUUCUGGUCUGUAACUGACGCUGAGGCGCGAAAGCGUGGGGAGCAAACAGGA